UAAGGAUUUAACCAGUUGUUGUGCAGAGAGUUGUGCAGUGCAAAAAGAAUUCUAAGGGAAUCAAUUUUGAGAAAAUAAAAGCCUUUAUGUCUUUUUCAUUCAUUAGUGAGCUGACGUAUCUCAAGUGGUUGAAGAGUUGAACUUCUCAAAGAGAUGCUACGUUUACACAUUAAAGGACCACAUUCAGAGAGCAUCUGUAUCGGGGUUUCAUCAGUAUUACUGAAUCUACUCGCUCUGCGAUCUCUGAGACCUAACAGGCUUCUUUUUUUCUUUAUUGAUUUAGGGGUUUUUAUACGUAUGUACAUGUCAGCCCCAUUAUAAUCUAAGUACAUUAAAAAUACAAAAGAAAAACAAAAUUCUUAACUUAACAAACUAAAAAAAAAGUUAAUAAAACCAAAAUCAAAUUAUAUCUAUAAUGUUCAAACAAUAAGAUUUAUGGAUUCAAAUAACAGGCUUUUUGUUGAAGGUUUUUAUUAGGGUUUUGGAAUGGGUUAAGCCCGAAGUGUUGCUCCAGAGUUUAAUUCACUCUUGUGAAAAUGACGUAUCUAUGAUUUAACAAGACUGCCUUCAAUGGCAUGUUCUGGAAAUAGUGUUGCCAACCAUUCUAUAAAAUGAAUAUAGCAUCCCACUAGAUGCCCCGACUUUUUUUAAAUGAAAAUAAGGGACGAGGCGAACAUUACGUUCAGCUGAUGGCAAUUGAUACGCCCUGCCCAUAACAAUGCAGUGCCGCUCAGGAUUCUUGAAAAACCACAAAAGUUCUGAGCGGUAGUUCGUCACCUUGAGACAUAAGAUGUUAAGUCUCAUUUGUCCAGUAAUUUCACUAGCUACGGCGCUGUUUAAACUGAAACACAGUAUUGCUUACAGAUUACUGCUUCACGGCAGAAAUAGGUACCGUUUACCCAAAAUUUUGAAGAUUUUCUAUUUCUAAAAUGAUUAACAUUCAUAGUAAUAAUAGUGGCACUACUAGACACCACUACUAAAUAAUAUCUUCUUCUCUCUAAUCUUCUUUCAAUUCAGGCAAUAUCCGCGUAUACAGCGUGUAUAUUUUCUGUAAUAUAACAAUGGCGAGAUGAGCGCAAUAGAGCCAGUUAAAAAUAAUUGAAGAUGUGCUACAUAAUGGUAUUUUGUAAUUUAAAUUACAAUAAUAGCUAUGAAGAAUUCUUAAAAAAAUAAAAUUUAUUAAUAAACGCUUAAGGUAGCAAAAACUCUUCUUUUAAGAAAUAAAGUAGGACUCUAUAUUGGAACUUCUAUAUUUUUUUCAUCUCUGCGUAUCUACUAUUUUUUGUGGGUAACAAUUUUAGAACUACUAUUAUUGACCGAGAUAGAGUUGGCAACCCUGCCUGGAACCCAUCGAAGUGUAACUCUGUUUAUUUUUCCCAGAGUAUUCACUAUAUAUACCUAUACCUACCUAUAAGCUUAGAUCAUUUAUACGUCUAGAUAGACUAUGACAGGUGUGAAAACGUCAAAAAAAAAUGAGUUUAACCUCUAUUUUGAGCAAUUAUCACACACAGUGACAAAAAGUGUCAUACAAAUCUCGAGUGUAGGACGUAGCUUGUCACGCACACUAAUCUAAUUUUUCUGGCCUGUUUUUACCGAUUGUCUAACAGCAAGAGAUUAGACUCUAUCUAGACAUAUAAAUUAUCUAAAUCUAUUAGUUAAUUUCUAGUUAAUAUUUCAACUCAGUCGUACGUUGGACGGACCAUAUGACCAAGAGAGUGCUUGAUAUUAACACCGGACUAAGAGGACACGGAAGACCCCGGAUAAGAUAGAAAUCAGUAAUAGACAAAAAGCCCAAACAGAUUCACAGACGACCCAGGACAGAACGUCCUUGCGAAGACUGAUUAGGAGAGCCGACCCCAACUAAAAUGGGAUAGUGCGAGGAUGAAGAAGAAGAGUCGUACGUCGGCCGGAUGACGGCGAUUUUCAGCCCUGAAACAGAAAUUUGCAAGCGUUAUUAUUUCGGUUUGAAUGGCGACGUAGUUAUUGAAAUUAUUAAGUCAAUGAAACUUAUAUCUUACCAGAUGGUGGCCGAUCCACUUCCCUUCAACUAAACAUAAAUAUGCAUAUAAAUGCUUACAAAAUUCCAUAUAAAAAUUUAAAAUAUUUGUUUGUUAAUUUAGAAUUUUGUAGAAAUUCAGUCAUUACCAUAGUUAUUUCGAUUUUCCUUAUUUUUGUUAUCAAUUAAUGUCAGAGCAGAACUGUCAAACCGUGCGUCAAAUUUUUUUCUCAUUUAAUUAUCAUACAGAUAUAAUAUUUGAAAUUCAAAACAUAUAAACAUAUAGAUAUAAAAACUAUCAUAUCUCCAAUGUCGGAUCAAACUGCAAACAGUGGACUGAAUUUUAUUGAAAUCGGAAAUUUUUAUAUACAAGAUGUCUGAAACCAUUCUCCUGAGUCACUCCGUCUUUGAGUGAGAAUCCUAUUUUAAUCAGCUUAAUAGUUUAAAGUUUAUUGGGAACAGACAACAGAAAACCUUUUUUUAAACUAGUAUAGUAACCCGCAGUGUAAUAGAACCGGAAUAGUUGAACUAAAAACAUCGUCAAAAUGGCUGAUUUUGAAAAUCGAACGAAUAUGUCGCGUCAAAAUGGCGCCGGCAAAUACAAACAAGCCUAAGAUAACAUGCAGGGGUCGCUAUGAGUGUGCUUACCAACUAUUUAACGAUGUUGGUAACAUCACGAAAUUUUGCAUCUUUAUGUAUUUGUCACAAGAACUGUAAUAAAUACAUUAAUUUACCAUAGGGAGUGACAAUAACUUAACAUAUUGCAACAACAAUUGGUAAUCGUUAUGAAGCUAUAUCAGUUCGUAAGUGGGUUUUGACACGGGGAGAAGAACUGAUAAGAAAUUCUAACAACCAACAACAACUUAGCCUACUUAAUAUAAUAACACUAGAAACAAGGGAUUGCUUGUAACUAAUUCUAGUAGGCUUCAUAAGAUACAUAAUAGCUUUAAUGUAUACACUUUUAGAAUAAAGCCCCAGCCACUGUUCAGGCAUUAUCUAUAAAUAAAUUUAAAUGUUUUAUAAAAAAAUGGCUC
Leptidea sinapis is the source of this 3030-nucleotide long non-coding RNA. RefSeq lists it as uncharacterized. The transcript is spliced from 2 exons. NCBI's taxonomy places the organism in Eukaryota, Metazoa, Arthropoda, Insecta, Lepidoptera, Pieridae. The record is from RefSeq and is a predicted model, not a curated record.